UCUAGUUAGAUUGGUCAUAAUUAAAGUGUAUUUAUUGCAUGUUUGUAGUUUUUGUGUGUUAUAUGAUGUGUUUAAAAGUUGUUUUUUGUGUAUUCUCCAGGAACUCAUUUGUUGGCGGAAGGAUUAAAGAUGUACCACCCACCAGCAGUCAGGAGUUUUCAAAGUGGUGAAUUUAAACUGUGUUACAACACAGUGAAGAUUUCUGAAAAAAGUAGAUGGCUAACCUAUUAUAUUUUGGGCCUCAUUUGACUUAAAUAGUGUUGAUGUUUAAAGUUGAAGACAGUAUAUAAUUCAUCAAGAACAGUGGAAUCCAGAAUUAAGCCUCAAAUGUGACUGAUUUACUAUAGAACAAAGAACACGAAAAUUCACCAGGCCGUCACCAAGAGGAGAAAUUUGAAAAAAUGGGAACUGGUUGAUGGAUAUGGAUGAAACUUUGCAUUAGUGUUGUGUUUAUGCAUAGAAAUCAGGAAAAUAAAGGAUAACUGACAGACCAUGCAGUUACCAAAGCCGGGGUUUGAGUACAGCCUACCUUACCUUAUACUGGUUAAGAUCUAUGGAAGAACUCUUUCAGCUCAGUUUGGCAGCAGAUUUGUCAGGACAAGUUGAGAAGGAACUCAUUUGUUGGCGGAAGGAUUAAAGAUGUACCACCCACCAGCAGUCAGGAGUUUUCAAAGUGGUGAAUUUAAACUGUGUUACAACACAGUGAAGAUUUCUGAAAAAAGUAGAUGGCUAACCUAUUAUAUUUUGGGCCUCAUUUGACUUAAAUAGUGUUGAUGUUUAAAGUUGAAAACAGUAUAUAAUUCAUCAAGAACAGUGGAAUCCAGAAUUAAGCCUCAAAUGUGACUGAUUUACUAUAGAACAAAGAACACGAAAUUUCACCAGGCCGUCACC
Long non-coding RNA from Ruditapes philippinarum (Manila clam), 891 nucleotides. RefSeq lists it as uncharacterized. The transcript has 3 exons. Lineage: Eukaryota; Metazoa; Mollusca; Bivalvia; Venerida; Veneridae. The record is from RefSeq and is a predicted model, not a curated record.